GGCUCAGUAGCUCAGUUGGUAGAGCAAAGGACUGAAAAUCCUUGUGUCGGCGGUUCGAUUCCGUCCUGAGCCA
Non-coding RNA from Domibacillus enclensis, 73 nucleotides. NCBI's taxonomy places the organism in Bacteria, Bacillati, Bacillota, Bacilli, Caryophanales, Bacillaceae. The record is from Rfam.